ACCGGCAAACGGGUGCGGAACACGUACGCAACCUUCCUUUAACUGGAGAAUAGCCCGGGGAAACCCGGAUUAAUACUCCGUAACAUUAUGAAGUGGCAUCACUUUAUAAUUAUAGCUCCGGCGGUUGAAGAUGGGCGUGGGUCUGAUUAGGUAGUUGGCGGGGUAACGGCCCACCAAGCCUACGAUCAGUAACAGGUGUGAGAGCACGACCAGUCACACGGGCACUGAGACACGGGCCCGACUCCUACGGGAGGCAGCAGUAAGGAAUAUUGGUCAAUGGACGCAAGUCUGAACCAGCCAUGCCGCGUGGAGGAUGAAGGUCCUCUGGAUUGUAAACUUCUUUUAUUUGGGAAGAAACCCCCGAUUUCUAUUGGGGUUGACGGUACCAGAUGAAUAAGCACCGGCUAACUCCGUGCCAGCAGCCGCGGUAAUACGGAGGGUGCAAGCGUUAUCCGGAUUCACUGGGUUUAAAGGGUGCGUAGGCGGGUUGGUAAGUCCGUGGUGAAAUCUCCAAGCUUAACUCGGAAACUGCCGUGGA
This 538-nucleotide ribosomal RNA is filed under the name uncultured bacterium. RNAcentral's name for it is "bacterial SSU rRNA". It matches the Rfam family "Bacterial small subunit ribosomal RNA", at positions 94 to 630 of the family's 1533-position model. The record is from RNAcentral.